AGAGUUUGAUCCUGGCUCAGAACGAACGCUGGCGGCGUGCUUAACACAUGCAAGUCGAGUGCGCGGUGCCGUAGCAAUACGGUACUGGCGCACGGCGCACGGGUGCGUAACACGUGGGUAAUCUGCCCUCUGAUGGGGAAUAACCCCGCGAAAGCGGGGCUAAUACCGCAUAACAUUCCUUGGACUCCGGUUUGAGGACUCAAAGCCGUAAGGCGUCGGAGGUGGAGCCCGCGCACGAUUAGCUAGUUGGUAGGGUAACGGCCUACCAAGGCUAUGAUCGUUAGCUGGUCUGAGAGGAUGGCCAGCCACACUGGAACUGAGACACGGUCCAGACUCCUACGGGAGGCAGCAGUGGGGAAUCUUGCGCAAUGGGCGAAAGCCUGACGCAGCGACGCCGCGUGGGGGAUGAAGCUUCUCGGAGCGUAAACCCCUUUCGACCGGGACGAAUGCCCGCAAGGGAGUGACGGUACCGGUAUAAGAAGCCCCGGCUAACUACGUGCCAGCAGCCGCGGUAAGACGUAGGGGGCCAGCGUUGUUCGGAAUUACUGGGUGUAAAGGGUUCGUAGGCGGUGUGGCAAGUCGGGAGUGAAAUCUCUGGGCUCAACUCAGGGGCUGCUUCCGAAACUGCUGUGCUAGAGUGUGGGAGAGGCGCGUGGAAUUGCAGGUGUAGCGGUGAAAUGCGUAGAUAUCUGCAGGAACACCCGUGGCGAAAGCGGCGCGCUGGACCACUACUGACGCUGAGGAACGAAAGCUAGGGGAGCAAACAGGAUUAGAUACCCCCGUAGUCC
This 788-nucleotide ribosomal RNA is filed under the name uncultured bacterium. RNAcentral's name for it is "bacterial SSU rRNA". It matches the Rfam family "Bacterial small subunit ribosomal RNA", at positions 8 to 796 of the family's 1533-position model. The record is from RNAcentral.